UUUUCAAAAACAUUUCUUUUAGUUUAGAUAAAAAGUAAAGCCUGCCCACUGAAUUUUAAAGGGCCGCGGUAUUAUGACCGUGCUAAGGUAGCAUAAUCAUUAGUCUCUUAAUUAGGGAAUAGAAUGAAUGGCUAAACUUAAAAGUGUUUUAUUUUUAUUUUAUUUUUGAAUUUUAAUUUUAAUUGAAAAUGUUUAAGUAAGAUAAAAAGACGAUAAGACCCUAUAGAGCUUAAUAUCACAAUAAUACUUAGUUUAUGGGGGAUAAAUUAAUUAUUGUUGUGAUGUUUAGUUGGGGCAACGUGAGAAUAAAAAAAAUUUCUUAAGAGUAUUUAAGCCUAAAAUUUAGAAUUGAAAAAGUUACCUUAGGGAUAACAGCGUUAUAAAUUUUGAGAGUUCUUAUCGAUAAAUUUGUUUGCGACCUCGAUGUUGAAUUAAAAAUUCUUAAAGGAGUAGUCAUUUUAUAAGAUAGUCUGUUCGACUAUAAAAAUUUUACAUGAUUUGAUUCCCAGACCGGA
Molecule: ribosomal RNA, 515 nt
Filed under: Willowsia similis
Lineage: Eukaryota; Metazoa; Arthropoda; Collembola; Entomobryomorpha; Entomobryidae
Description: partial 16S ribosomal RNA
Rfam family: Bacterial large subunit ribosomal RNA
Source: RNAcentral